This 87-nucleotide unclassified non-coding RNA is filed under the name Stenotrophomonas sp. CC120222-04. The record is from RNAcentral. Lineage: Bacteria; Pseudomonadati; Pseudomonadota; Gammaproteobacteria; Lysobacterales; Lysobacteraceae.
UCUUGUGGGUGCCGACCGUUGGUCGGCACAGACCGCAGAAUCCCGACGCCAGACGUUCGUGCCGACCAACGGUCGGCACCCACCAAG